This 275-nucleotide ribosomal RNA is filed under the name Oxyrrhis marina. RNAcentral describes it as "partial Bacterial small subunit ribosomal RNA". It matches the Rfam family "Bacterial small subunit ribosomal RNA", at positions 138 to 413 of the family's 1533-position model. The record is from RNAcentral. Lineage: Eukaryota; Dinophyceae; Oxyrrhinales; Oxyrrhinaceae.
GGGGAAUAGCCCAGGGAAACUUGGAUUAAUGCCCCAUGGUACCGUUAUAUCGCAUGAUAUUUCGGUUAAAGAUUUAUCGGACAGGGAUGGCCAUGCGUACCAUUAGUUAGUUGGUGGGGUAACGGCCCACCAAGGCAGCGAUGGUUAGGGGCCCUGAGAGGGGGAUCCCCCACACUGGUACUGAGACACGGACCAGACUCCUACGGGAGGCAGCAGUGAGGAAUAUUGGACAAUGGGCGGGAGCCUGAUCCAGCCAUGCCGCGUGCAGGAUGACG